Molecule: ribosomal RNA, 253 nt
Filed under: uncultured bacterium
Lineage: Bacteria
Description: partial 16S ribosomal RNA
Rfam family: Bacterial small subunit ribosomal RNA
Source: RNAcentral
UACGUAGGUGGCGAGCGUUGUCCGGAUUUACUGGGCGUAAAGCGCGUGCAGGUGGUUUGUUAAGUCCGGUGUGAAAGCUCCCGGCUCAACUGGGAGAGGUCAUCGGAUACUGGCAGACUUGAGGGAGGCAGAGGUCGGUGGAAUUCCCGGUGUAGUGGUGAAAUACGUAGAGAUCGGGAGGAACACCAGUGGCGAAAGCGGCCGACUGGGCCUUACCUGACGCUGAGGAGCGAAAGCGUGGGGAGCGAACAGG